GAGCAACGUGAAGCACAAAAAAUGACACAGGAACUUUGGGGAUUUCCAGCCCACAACACACACAAACAUUCUGUGGCGUUGGGUGGAAAAGUUUAAUAAAGCGCAGCAAAUGCGAAGAGGAAAUUUCGCUUUUAUUUCGGCAGAACCACCCCCUUUCUCCGCGCGGAUGCCCCCGCCCCUGGCUUUGUGGCCAGCUGAGGAGCGCAAAAUAAUGGCAACAGCUCGCCAAAGGUCCUUGGGGGCCCAGAACUCGGAGAUGGGUCAGUUUUGGACAUGGGAGAGGCAUUCGGGGCCUUGUGGCUCAAUCGCAGCUCUGUUUUCGGAUUCCAUUUUUUCUUCAUCUUCCGUUCUGCUCGGGGCCGCUGCUGUUUUUGUAUUUUGGGAUUUGGCCAACCUUUUGACAAAUUACGAAUAUUAUUCAUGCAGCAAUGAAGUGAGGAAGCUCUUGUCGUCCCUCGCCCACCUUUUGGGCCUCCUGCGGUCGCAAUUCGGCGUUUGGAUUCCUUUUAAAAUGUAUCUGACGGCAGAAUUGGAAUGCAGGAACAUCCUAACUAGUUAGGAAUUAUUAAUUGAGGUUACGCACAGGACUUGGAGAAAGGAAGGCAGCCUCUCAAAGUGUUGAAGCUGACUGUGGAGUUCCAUUUCUUCAUUUGAUUUCGCCAAAGUUGUGAUUACCCAGGCCCACUAGCCUAAUUCUUAUUGAAAAACGGCUUUCUCUUCAGUUUCCGCCCCAAUAUCCUGUGCUCCUGCUCCUCUCCCUCUGCCGCAGUCGACGUCGACGGCGUCAAUGUCAGCCACAUGUUUCUGUUUCAAUGGCUGCCGGCCAGCGGCCAUUAGAGAAAGCGGGAUGGUAUGAUAUGAGCCUGACUGAAUGCCUGCUCUCUCUCGCGUUUCUCGCAUAGCGUGUUUUAGUCAGCUGUCAAAUAUUUUGACAUGGGUAGCCAUGGCCACAUUGAGCAUCCAAAAUGGGGAAUGGAGGACAUACACUGAAAAAAGUCUAUCUUUUGUAUUCAUGAAUAGUCGAAUAGUCGCACUUACUAGAUUUAUAGAUGUAAAUAAAUAAGAAACGCUGAAUUACACAAU
Molecule: non-coding RNA, 1083 nt
Organism: Drosophila melanogaster (fruit fly)
Lineage: Eukaryota; Metazoa; Arthropoda; Insecta; Diptera; Drosophilidae
Source: Ensembl